CGCGUAUCUCGUUCCGGGGCAUCCCGGGGUGAUGAAAGGUUUCGGCCGGUGGAGGAUGGGCAUGCGGCGCAUUAGGCAGACGGCGGGGUAACGGCCCACCGUACCGACGAUGCGUAGGGGUUCUGAGAGGAAGGUCCCCACACUGGUACUGAGACACGGACCAGACUCCUACGGGAGGCAGCAGUGAGGAAUAUUGGUCAAUGGGCGGGAGCCUGAACCAGCCAAGCCGCGUGAGGGAAGAAGGCCCUACGGGUCGUAAACCUCUUUUGCCGGGGAACAAAAGCGGGUAUGCAUACCCGUAUGAGUGUACCCGGAGAAAAAGCAUCGGCUAACUCCGUGCCAGCAGCCGCGGUAAUACGGAGGAUGCGAGCGUUAUCCGGAUUUAUUGGGUUUAAAGGGUGCGUAGGCGGCAUUUCAAGUCAGCGGUAAAAUUGCGGGGCUCAACCCCGUAUAGCCGUUGAGACUGAGGAGCUAGAGACGGCGAGAGGUACGCGGAAUGCGCAGUGUAGCGAUGAAAUGCAUAGAUAUUGCGCAGAACUCCGAUUGCGAAGGCAGCGUACUGGCGCCGGACU
Molecule: ribosomal RNA, 572 nt
Filed under: uncultured bacterium
Lineage: Bacteria
Description: bacterial SSU rRNA
Rfam family: Bacterial small subunit ribosomal RNA
Source: RNAcentral